RNAcentral lists this ribosomal RNA (2900 nucleotides) under Klebsiella pneumoniae. Its description in RNAcentral is "bacterial LSU rRNA". It matches the Rfam family "Bacterial large subunit ribosomal RNA". Lineage: Bacteria; Pseudomonadati; Pseudomonadota; Gammaproteobacteria; Enterobacterales; Enterobacteriaceae. The record is from RNAcentral.
UUAAGCGACUAAGCGUACACGGUGGAUGCCCUGGCAGUCAGAGGCGAUGAAGGACGUGCUAAUCUGCGAAAAGCGUCGGUAAGGUGAUAUGAACCGUUAUAACCGGCGAUGUCCGAAUGGGGAAACCCAGUGCAAUUCGUUGCACUAUCGUUAACUGAAUACAUAGGUUAACGAGGCGAACCGGGGGAACUGAAACAUCUAAGUACCCCGAGGAAAAGAAAUCAACCGAGAUUCCCCCAGUAGCGGCGAGCGAACGGGGAGCAGCCCAGAGUCUGAAUCAGCUUGUGUGUUAGUGGAACGGUCUGGAAAGUCCGACGGUACAGGGUGAUAGUCCCGUACACCAAAAUGCACAGGCUGUGAACUCGAAGAGUAGGGCGGGACACGUGGUAUCCUGUCUGAAUAUGGGGGGACCAUCCUCCAAGGCUAAAUACUCCUGACUGACCGAUAGUGAACCAGUACCGUGAGGGAAAGGCGAAAAGAACCCCGGCGAGGGGAGUGAAAAAGAACCUGAAACCGUGUACGUACAAGCAGUGGGAGCACCUUCGGGUGUGACUGCGUACCUUUUGUAUAAUGGGUCAGCGACUUAUAUUCUGUAGCAAGGUUAACCGUAUAGGGGAGCCGCAGGGAAACCGAGUCUUAACUGGGCGUUAAGUUGCAGGGUAUAGACCCGAAACCCGGUGAUCUAGCCAUGGGCAGGUUGAAGGUUGGGUAACACUAACUGGAGGACCGAACCGACUAAUGUUGAAAAAUUAGCGGAUGACUUGUGGCUGGGGGUGAAAGGCCAAUCAAACCGGGAGAUAGCUGGUUCUCCCCGAAAGCUAUUUAGGUAGCGCCUCGUGAACUCAUCUUCGGGGGUAGAGCACUGUUUCGGCUAGGGGGUCAUCCCGACUUACCAACCCGAUGCAAACUACGAAUACCGAAGAAUGUUAUCACGGGAGACACACGGCGGGUGCUAACGUCCGUCGUGAAGAGGGAAACAACCCAGACCGCCAGCUAAGGUCCCAAAGUCAUGGUUAAGUGGGAAACGAUGUGGGAAGGCACAGACAGCCAGGAUGUUGGCUUAGAAGCAGCCAUCAUUUAAAGAAAGCGUAAUAGCUCACUGGUCGAGUCGGCCUGCGCGGAAGAUGUAACGGGGCUAAACCAUGCACCGAAGCUGCGGCAGCGACACUAUGUGUUGUUGGGUAGGGGAGCGUUCUGUAAGCCUGCGAAGGUGUGCUGUGAGGGUUGCUGGAGGUAUCAGAAGUGCGAAUGCUGACAUAAGUAACGAUAAAGCGGGUGAAAAGCCCGCUCGCCGGAAGACCAAGGGUUCCUGUCCAACGUUAAUCGGGGCAGGGUGAGUCGACCCCUAAGGCGAGGCCGAAAGGCGUAGUCGAUGGGAAACAGGUUAAUAUUCCUGUACUUGGUGUUACUGCGAAGGGGGGACGGAGAAGGCUAUGUUAGCCGGGCGACGGUUGUCCCGGUUUAAGCAUGUAGGCUGAUUGUCCAGGCAAAUCCGGAUAAUCAAGGCUGAGGUGUGAUGACGAGGCACUACGGUGCUGAAGUAACAAAUGCCCUGCUUCCAGGAAAAGCCUCUAAGCAUCAGGUAACAUCAAAUCGUACCCCAAACCGACACAGGUGGUCAGGUAGAGAAUACCAAGGCGCUUGAGAGAACUCGGGUGAAGGAACUAGGCAAAAUGGUGCCGUAACUUCGGGAGAAGGCACGCUGGUGUGUAGGUGAAGCCCCUGCGGGUGGAGCUGAGACCAGUCGAAGAUACCAGCUGGCUGCAACUGUUUAUUAAAAACACAGCACUGUGCAAACACGAAAGUGGACGUAUACGGUGUGACGCCUGCCCGGUGCCGGAAGGUUAAUUGAUGGGGUUAUCCGUAAGGAGAAGCUCUUGAUCGAAGCCCCGGUAAACGGCGGCCGUAACUAUAACGGUCCUAAGGUAGCGAAAUUCCUUGUCGGGUAAGUUCCGACCUGCACGAAUGGCGUAAUGAUGGCCAGGCUGUCUCCACCCGAGACUCAGUGAAAUUGAACUCGCUGUGAAGAUGCAGUGUACCCGCGGCAAGACGGAAAGACCCCGUGAACCUUUACUAUAGCUUGACACUGAACAUUGAGCCUUGAUGUGUAGGAUAGGUGGGAGGCUUUGAAGCGUGGACGCCAGUCUGCGUGGAGCCAACCUUGAAAUACCACCCUUUAAUGUUUGAUGUUCUAACGUUGGCCCCUUACCGGGGUUGCGGACAGUGUCUGGUGGGUAGUUUGACUGGGGCGGUCUCCUCCCAAAGCGUAACGGAGGAGCACGAAGGUUAGCUAAUCCUGGUCGGACAUCAGGAGGUUAGUGCAAUGGCAUAAGCUAGCUUGACUGCGAGCGUGACGGCGCGAGCAGGUGCGAAAGCAGGUCAUAGUGAUCCGGUGGUUCUGAAUGGAAGGGCCAUCGCUCAACGGAUAAAAGGUACUCCGGGGAUAACAGGCUGAUACCGCCCAAGAGUUCAUAUCGACGGCGGUGUUUGGCACCUCGAUGUCGGCUCAUCACAUCCUGGGGCUGAAGUAGGUCCCAAGGGUAUGGCUGUUCGCCAUUUAAAGUGGUACGCGAGCUGGGUUUAGAACGUCGUGAGACAGUUCGGUCCCUAUCUGCCGUGGGCGCUGGAGAAUUGAGGGGGGCUGCUCCUAGUACGAGAGGACCGGAGUGGACGCAUCACUGGUGUUCGGGUUGUCAUGCCAAUGGCACUGCCCGGUAGCUAAAUGCGGAAGAGAUAAGUGCUGAAAGCAUCUAAGCACGAAACUUGCCCCGAGAUGAGUUCUCCCUGAGACUUUAAGUCUCCUGAAGGAACGUUGAAGACGACGACGUUGAUAGGCCGGGUGUGUAAGCGCAGCGAUGCGUUGAGCUAACCGGUACUAAUGAACCGUGAGGCUUAACCUU